This 427-nucleotide long non-coding RNA is filed under the name Mytilus galloprovincialis (Mediterranean mussel). The record is from RNAcentral. Lineage: Eukaryota; Metazoa; Mollusca; Bivalvia; Mytilida; Mytilidae.
GUGUACUGAUUAAUAAAGAUACUUGUAUAAAACUAGAUAUCACUGGAAUCAGAAUGUUCUCUAGUUUAUAAUGGAAUAAAAAAAGUGUACUUUUAAUAGUAUAAAAAGUUUUAUCAAGAGAAACUGGGAAAAACAUUGCCUAAUUUAAGCUUAAAAAACCUGAAAUCAGGUCAUGUGCACACCCCUGAAGACAUGAUACCUGCACAUUUUUCAUAAUCAAAGUUGUAUGAAUUUCAUAGAUUUUUACCUGGUCUUUCAAAAAAUUCAUGCUGCAGGGUACGUUCGCCUGCUCCGAAAAGAGCUAUAGUGGCUGCAAAUAAGUUUUCAAUUUUCACUGCCAAAAAAACAGACUGUUUACAGUGUUGUCUCCCCUCAAAACAUGUAUAUUUAAUCUAUUUUUUUAAAUUAUUUUAAUCAUUCAACCUGC